AGAUUGAACGCUGGCGGCAUGCCUUACACAUGCAAGUCGAACGCGAAAGCGGGGCAACCCGCAAGUAGAGUGGCGAACGGGUGAGUAAUACAUCGGAACAUUUCCAGUAGCGGGGGAUAACCUGUCGAAAGAUAGGCUAAUACCGCAUACGACCUAAGGGUGAAAGCGGAGGACCGCAAGGCUUCGCACUAUUGGAGUGCCGAUGUCGGAUUAGCUAGUUGGCGGGGUAACAGCCCACCAAGGCUACGAUCCGUAGCUGGUCUGAGAGGACGAUCAGCACACUGGAACUGAGACACGGUCCAAGACCUACCGUACGGGACGG
Molecule: ribosomal RNA, 322 nt
Filed under: uncultured soil bacterium
Lineage: Bacteria
Description: bacterial SSU rRNA
Rfam family: Bacterial small subunit ribosomal RNA
Source: RNAcentral